AGUGAACGCUGGCGGUAGGCCUAACACAUGCAAGUCGAACGGCAGCACAGUAAGAGCUCGCUCUUACGGGUGGCGAGUGGCGGACGGGUGAGGUAUACAUCGGAAUCUACUUUUUCGUGGGGGAUAACGUAGGGAAACUUACGCUAAUACCGCAUACGACCUACGGGUGAAAGCAGGGGAUCUUCGGACCUUGCGCGAUUGAAUGAGCCGAUGUCGGAUUAGCUAGUUGGCGGGGUAAAGGCCCACCAAGGCGACGAUCCGUAGCUGGUCUGAGAGGAUUAUGAGCCACACUUGAACUGAGAAACGGGCCCGACGCCUAAGGGAAGGCGCAAGUGGGAAUAGUGGACCAUGGGCGCAAGCCUGAUCCAGCCAUACCGCGUGGGUGAAGAAGGCCUUCGGGUUGUAAAGCCCUUUUGUUGGGAAAGAAAAGCAGCAGGUUAAUACCCCGCUGUUCUGACGGUACCCAAAGAAUAAGCACCGGCUAACUUCGUG
RNAcentral lists this ribosomal RNA (492 nucleotides) under uncultured bacterium. RNAcentral's name for it is "partial 16S ribosomal RNA". It matches the Rfam family "Bacterial small subunit ribosomal RNA", at positions 29 to 507 of the family's 1533-position model. The record is from RNAcentral.